This 249-nucleotide unclassified non-coding RNA is filed under the name Hevea brasiliensis (rubber tree). The record is from RNAcentral. Lineage: Eukaryota; Viridiplantae; Streptophyta; Magnoliopsida; Malpighiales; Euphorbiaceae.
CGGGGGGAAUCAGCUGAUUACAUAAUUGGCGAAGAAGUGGUAUAUAAUAGACUAAUGGAGAUGUCAAAAGGUUUUCCUAAUUCUCUGAACAGUGAUAAUAAAUAAUAGGAUCAAGUUCACAAAAGAUAAACAAAUUCUUACAGACUAGACUCCAAGUAAGGGACACUGCUUUUUAGCAUGUUCUGGUAACAGUUUGUUUAAGAGUUCUGAAGACGCUCCUUUCAGCUCUUGAGGCCUGAAGUUGAAGAG